GACGAACGCUGGCGGCGUGCUUAACACAUGCAAGUCGAGCGGAGCGGCGAACGGGUGGGUAACGCGUGAGUAACUGCCCCCCUCUCUGGGAUAACAGUUGGAAACGGCUGCUAAUACCUGAUAGUGGGGGAUGACUCGGGUCCUAUCAGCUUGUUGGUGUGGUAGUGGCCUACCAAGGCGACGACGGGUACCCGACCUGAGAGGGCGACCGGCCCCAGUGGGCUGAGAUACGGCCCAAAGUCCUACGGGGGGCAGCAGUGGGGAAUAUUGCACAACGGGGGAAACCCUGAUGUAGCAACGCCGCGGGCGGGAUGACGGCCUUCGGGUGGUAAACCGCUUUCAGCCAUGACGCGGUAGUGGCAGAAGAAGCACCGGCUAACUACGUGCCAGCAGCCGCGGUAAUAC
Molecule: ribosomal RNA, 405 nt
Filed under: uncultured bacterium
Lineage: Bacteria
Description: partial 16S ribosomal RNA
Rfam family: Bacterial small subunit ribosomal RNA
Source: RNAcentral